AACAGAGGCCUCAAAGCUCUCUCUGCGCUCUAUCCGCCCUCCCUACACAGUGGUUAACUGGGGCCUUUUCCUCUCCUGUGGCCUGAUGAGUCAUCCUCAAAGACUGUGGUUCAUACCAGUUGUUUCUGAAAAACUCUUUGGCCGAGUGCUCACCACAUAGCUCAGAAGAGAAAAGGAAACAGAAGUGGGGCCUGAUACAGAACUCCAACUCCUAUUAAUGGAUGUGAAGUGCCCAGGAUGUCAUAAAAUCAGCCUAGUCUUCAGCCAUAAACAAAGGGCAGUCUCGUGUGUUGGCUGCAGCAUUGCCCUGUCAGCCUACAGAAGGACAAGCAAGGCUGACUGCUCCUGCAGGACACAGUACUCAAAGCACCUUGGUUCAUGAUGAGUGGGGAGUUAUCCCAAUUAACACAUCAGAGAUUUAAAAAAAAACAGCAUUGUUUCAAAUGAGAUAAGUUUUAAAUAUCUAUUUUG
Molecule: long non-coding RNA, 471 nt
Organism: Grammomys surdaster
Lineage: Eukaryota; Metazoa; Chordata; Mammalia; Rodentia; Muridae
Exons: 3
Source: RefSeq, a predicted model, not a curated record